CCAGUGGCGCGAAGCUACCGU
Molecule: small nuclear RNA, 21 nt
Filed under: Arabidopsis thaliana (thale cress)
Lineage: Eukaryota; Viridiplantae; Streptophyta; Magnoliopsida; Brassicales; Brassicaceae
Description: snRNA_04818
Source: RNAcentral